UUGAAUGUGAGGGAAAAGAUACUAAUCCUAAUUGACACAUGGCAAGAAGCCUUCGGGGGACCUCAGGGGAGAUAUCCUCAAUAUUAUGCAGCAUAUAAUGAACUGAAGGCUGCUGGAGUUGAAUUCCCACCUCGAGAAGAGAGCAGAGUACCAUUCUUUACUCCACCCCAGACACAGCCAAUAAUUUCUCCUGUUACUAAAUACAAUGAUGCUGCUAUUGAGGCCUGUUUACAGUCUGAUGCUUCAGGCCUCAGGUAGCAAAUAGGAUUUCUCUAUGGCACGCGUGGUGACGUGAGGAGUUCUUUCAUCAUGGGGUGUAUGGCGUGGGGCAAUCCUAUGGACGAUAAAACGAUCAACUGGCUUCAUUGGAUUUCAAAUUGGGAGGAACUUUAUUUGUAGCAGUUUGCAAGAGGUACCUCUCUAUUAUGAUGGGAUUGGGGGCAUACGUUUGUCAUUAAAACUUUCUGACUCUAGCCAAACACCUAUAGAGAUUGGAUUGGAUCUGGAGAAAUUGUUGCAGAAGGUUAUUUUAUUUCAAGUGACCCAAAGGAUGAGGUUCACCAUGUUCCUCUUGGGCCUAGUGCUAUGAAAGUGGGGAUAGAUCUUGUGAGAAAGAAUGAUGCAUUUCUGUGGAGGCCUUCAACAGUUAUGUCUACUAUAGAAGAUGUUAUAGGUAGUAUAAUUGCAUGGCCAGCUGAUAAAGUUAUAAUUAGCUAAGCAAAUGGACUCACAACAAAGACAAGUGCACAAAGGAUGAUGAAUUGAAGGAUGGAGCAAGUUUCGUUUACUUUUGUGUAUCUUGUAAUGUUUCUAUUUUUCAUUUUUGAAGUAAAAAUUGUUCAAGAUUAUAAAACUUUAUUAUGUUAUGCUUUCAAACUUAAGUUAGAACUAAGAUCUCAUGAAGUAGACACAUUCAUGGUUUGAAUUAGUUAUUGUUUAAUGUAAUACUUAUGGUUUAUCAAUCUAUUGAGAAUUACAUUUUAUG
Molecule: long non-coding RNA, 985 nt
Organism: Humulus lupulus (European hop)
Lineage: Eukaryota; Viridiplantae; Streptophyta; Magnoliopsida; Rosales; Cannabaceae
Exons: 7
Source: RefSeq, a predicted model, not a curated record